UGGGGAAUAUUGGACAAUGGGCGAAAGCCUGAUCCAGCCAUGCCGCGUGUGUGAAGAAGGUCUUCGGAUUGUAAAGCACUUUAAGUUGGGAGGAAGGGCAGUAAGCGAAUACCUUGCUGUUUUGACGUUACCGACAGAAUAAGCACCGGCUAACUCUGUGCCAGCAGCCGCGGUAAUACAGAGGGUGCAAGCGUUAAUCGGAAUUACUGGGCGUAAAGCGCGCGUAGGUGGUUCGUUAAGUUGAAUGUGAAAGCCCCGGGCUCAACCUAGGAACUGCAUCCAAAACUGGCGAGCUAGAGUAGGGCAGGGGGUGGUGGAAUGUCCUGUGUAGCGGUGAAAUGCAUAGAGAUCUGGAGGGAUACCGAUGGCGGAGGCAGCCAUCUGGCCUAACACUGACGCUGAGGUACGAAAGCAUGGGGAGCAAACAGG
This 429-nucleotide ribosomal RNA is filed under the name Pseudomonadota bacterium. RNAcentral's name for it is "Proteobacteria bacterium partial 16S ribosomal RNA". It matches the Rfam family "Bacterial small subunit ribosomal RNA", at positions 355 to 776 of the family's 1533-position model. Lineage: Bacteria; Pseudomonadati; Pseudomonadota. The record is from RNAcentral.